RNAcentral lists this transfer RNA (74 nucleotides) under Shigella flexneri. Its description in RNAcentral is "tRNA-Leu". It matches the Rfam family "tRNA". From Rfam's summary of the family: Transfer RNA (tRNA) molecules are approximately 80 nucleotides in length. Their secondary structure includes four short double-helical elements and three loops (D, anti-codon, and T loops). Further hydrogen bonds mediate the characteristic L-shaped molecular structure. tRNAs have two regions of fundamental functional importance: the anti-codon, which is responsible for specific mRNA codon recognition, and the 3' end, to which the tRNAs corresponding amino acid is attached (by aminoacyl-tRNA synthetases). tRNAs cope with the degeneracy of the genetic code in two manners: having more than one tRNA (with a specific anti-codon) for a particular amino acid; and 'wobble' base-pairing, i.e. permitting non-standard base-pairing at the 3rd anti-codon position. Lineage: Bacteria; Pseudomonadati; Pseudomonadota; Gammaproteobacteria; Enterobacterales; Enterobacteriaceae. The record is from RNAcentral.
GCCGGUCUAGCCCAAUGGCAGAGGCAACGCGUUCAAGGCGCGGUCAGUCUGGGUUCGAGUCCCAGGAUCCGGCA